UUAAAGAAAGCGUAAUAGCUCACUAGUCGAGUCGGCCUGCGCGGAAGAUGUAACGGGGCUAAGCCAGUUACCGAAGCUGCGGAUGUGCAAUUUAUUGCACGUGGUAGGAGAGCGUUCUGUAGGCCUGUGAAGGUGUCUGGUAACGGAUGCUGGAGGUAUCAGAAGUGCGAAUGCUGACAUGAGUAACGUAAGGGGUGUGAGAGACACCCCCGCCGAAAGACCAAGGGUUCCUGCUUAAAGCUAAUCUGAGCAGGGUUAGCCGGCCCCUAAGACGAGGCAGAAAUGCGUAGUCGAUGGGAACCACGUUAAUAUUCGUGGGCUUGAGGGUAGUGACGGAUCACGUGUGUUGUCAGAUCUUAUUGGAUUGAUCUGGCUGCGAAGUGGUUCCAGGAAAUAGCUCCCUCUUAUAAACCGUACCCGAAACCGACACUGGUGGUCUGGUAGAGUAUACCAAGGCGCUUGAGAGAACUAUGCUGAAGGAACUCGGCAAAUUGCACGCGUAACUUCGGAAGAAGCGUGACCCCUAUGAACGCAAGUUUAUGGGGGUGGCACAGACCAGGGGGUAGCGACUGUUUACCAAAAACACAGCAGCGUGCGAAGCCGUAAGGCGCUGUAUACGCUGUGACGCCUGCCCAAUGCUGGAAGGUCACGGGGAACGGUUAGUCGAAAGGCGAAGCUGUGAACCUAAGCCCCAGUGAAUGGCGGCGGUAACUAUAACCGUCCUAAGGUAGCGAAAUUCCUUGUCGGGUAAGUUCCGACCUGCACGAAUGGUCUAAUGAGUUGAACACUGUCUCCUCCACGAGCCCGGUGAAAUUGUAGUAUCGGUGAAGAUGCCGGUUACCCGUCACGGGACGGAAAGACCCCAUGAACCUUCACUACAACUUUGCAUUGAUUUUGAGCACCAAGUGUGUAGGAUAGUUGGGAGACUAUGAAGCAGUGUCGCCAGGCAUUGUGGAGUCAUCGUUGAAAUACCAACCUCUUGUUGCUUAGAACCUAACCCCUACAGGGGGACAUUGCAUGGUGGGUAGUUUGACUGGGGUGGUCGCCUCCUAAAAAGUAACGGAGGCUCGCAAAGGUACCCUCAGUACGGUUGGUAAUCGUACGUAGAGCGCAUUAGUAUAAGGGUGCUUGACUGUGAGACAGACAAGUCGAUCAGGUGCGAAAGCAGGCUAAAGUGAUCCGGUGGUUCUGUAUGGAAGGGCCAUCGCUCAACGGAUAAAAGGUACGCCGGGGAUAACAGGCUGAUGACCCCCAAGAGUCCAUAUCGACGGGGUUGUUUGGCACCUCGAUGUCGACUCAUCGCAUCCUGGGGCUGGAGCAGGUCCCAAGGGUAUGGCUGUUCGCCAUUUAAAGAGGUACGUGAGCUGGGUUUAAAACGUCGUGAGACAGUUUGGUCCCUAUCUUCCGUGGGCGCUGCAAGAUUGAGAGAGCCUGCUCCUAGUACGAGAGGACCGGAGUGGACGCACCUCUGGUGUAUCGGUUGUCACGCCAGUGGCAUUGCCGAGUAGCUAAGUGCGGAAGAGAUAACCGCUGAAAGCAUCUAAGC
This 1546-nucleotide ribosomal RNA is filed under the name Vampyroteuthis infernalis. RNAcentral's name for it is "bacterial LSU rRNA". It matches the Rfam family "Bacterial large subunit ribosomal RNA", at positions 1123 to 2786 of the family's 2925-position model. The record is from RNAcentral. Lineage: Eukaryota; Metazoa; Mollusca; Cephalopoda; Vampyromorpha; Vampyroteuthidae.